GAACCUGUCAAUUCUAAAAUCCCCAUUGAUGUAUUGAACAUUAAAUUGAAGAGAUUCAAAAAGUUCUUUAAAGGAUGGGGUGUGAACCUUUUCGGAAAAUCAAGGAAGAGGAGAAGUGAACUAAGAGAGGAAUUAGAGCACCUGGAAAAAAUGGAAGAAACAGAUGUACUGUCUCCUGAAUUAUAUGAGAGGAAGGUUGAUAUACUAGCAGAAUUGUACAAUUUGUUAGUGGAAGAGGAGGUGGCUUGGAUGCAAAAAUCUCAUGAAAACUGGCUUUUGAAAGGGGACAGAAACACUGACUAUUUCCACAAAAUUGUGAAUGGGAGAAGACGAAGAAACACUAUAUUUUCACUUAGUUGUGGGGACGAGAUAAUUGAAGGGAACAAUAACCUCUUGAAACAUGCCACAAACUUUUAUAAAGACCUUUUUGGUCCGGCAGCUGGAAACUUAUGUAAGAUGAGGGAGAAUAUGUGGGAAUCACAUGAGAAACUGUGAGACAUUGACAACUUUAUCCUUACUAGACCCUUCUCUGAAACAGAGAUCAAGAAUGCUUUAUUCUCUAUGAAACCAAAUAAAGCUCCAGGUCCAGAUAAUAUUCCUAUUGAGUUUUUCCAGCACUGUUGGGGGGUAGUUAAAAGUGAAGUGAUGUUGCUAUUUGAUUGGUUUCAUGAUAACAAACUUGAUGUGUAG
Molecule: ribosomal RNA, 690 nt
Filed under: Triticum aestivum (bread wheat)
Lineage: Eukaryota; Viridiplantae; Streptophyta; Magnoliopsida; Poales; Poaceae
Description: partial small subunit ribosomal RNA
Source: RNAcentral